UCAUAUGGAUUCCUACGGGAGGCAGCAGUCGGGAAUUUUGCUCAAUGGGGGAAACCCUGAAGCAGCAACGCCGCGUGCGGGAUGAAGGCCUUCGGGUUGUAAACCGCUUUUACCAGGGACGAUAAUGACGGUACCUGAUGAAUAAGUCACGGCUAACUACGUGCCAGCAGCCGCGGUAAUACGUAGGUGACAAGCGUUGUCCGGAUUUACUGGGCGUAAAGAGCGCGCAGGCGGUCGUUCAAGUCGAGUGUGAAAGCCCCCGGCUCAACUGGGGAGGGUCAUUCGAUACUGAUCGACUCGAAGGCAGGAGAGGGAAGCGGAAUUCCCGGUGUAGUGGUGAAAUGCGUAGAUAUCGGGAGGAACACCAGUGGCGAAGGCGGCUUCCUGGCCUGUUCUUGACGCUGAGGCGCGAAAGCUAGGGGAGCAAACGGGAUUAGAUACCCCGGUAGUCCUAGCCGUAAACGAUGGACACUAGGUGUUGGUGGUAUCAACCCCACCAGUGCCGAAGCUAACGCAUUAAGUGUCCCGCCUGGGGAGUACGGCCGCAAGGCUAAAACUCAAAGGAAUUGACGGGGCCCCGCACAAGCAGCGGAGCGUGGGGUUUAAUUCGAUGCAACGCGAAGAACCUUACCAAGGCUUGACAUGACCAGGAAUCCGGCGGAAACGUCGGCGUCCCGCAAGGGACCUGGCCACAGGUGUUGCAUGGCUGUCGUCAGCUCGUGUCGUGAGAUGUUGGGUUAAGUCCCGCAACGAGCGCAACCCCUAUCGUGUGUUGUAUCACUCACACGAGACUGCCGAGAGAAACUCGGAGGAAGGCGGGGAUGACGUCAAGUCAGCAUGGCCCUUACGUCUUGGGCUACACCCACGCUACAAUGGCCGGUACAACGGGCGGCGAAACCGCGAGGUGGAGCAAAUCCCUUAAAGCCGGUCUCAGUUCGGAUUGUAGGCUGCAACUCGCCUACAUGAAGCCGGAGUUGCUAGUAACCGCCGGUCAGCAUACGGCGGUGAAUAUGUUCCCGGGCCUUGUACACACCGCCAU
This 1039-nucleotide ribosomal RNA is filed under the name uncultured Chloroflexota bacterium. RNAcentral describes it as "bacterial SSU rRNA". It matches the Rfam family "Bacterial small subunit ribosomal RNA", at positions 327 to 1396 of the family's 1533-position model. Lineage: Bacteria; Bacillati; Chloroflexota. The record is from RNAcentral.